Molecule: long non-coding RNA, 329 nt
Organism: Mirounga angustirostris (Northern elephant seal)
Lineage: Eukaryota; Metazoa; Chordata; Mammalia; Carnivora; Phocidae
Exons: 2
Source: RefSeq, a predicted model, not a curated record
GCCUGGCCCUCCCCCGCGGCUCCCGGCCCUCCCCCGCCGCGCCGACACCACGCAGCCCCAGCCCGGUGCCACGCUCGGAACUCCCAGCCAAACAGAGGCGGACGGCAGGGAAAGAAAGCUGAGGACCUAGUGUCGGAAAGGAGGUCCCAAGGGCUGCUUCAACUCCGGGAAUGAAGGCCAUUCUCAGCAAUUAGACGGUCGACCUUCCAGAAAAUGUCGACAGGACUCCGCAGGGACGCGCUGUUAUUAUGAAGGGCCCCAGAGGAGCCUGCAGAGAGACUUGGAUCACAUCGGUGUAGAAGUCCAUCUCCUUGAGAAGAAAAAGAAGA